AUUGAACGCUGGCGGCAGGCCUAACACAUGCAAGUCGAACGGUAACAGGAAACAGCUUGCUGUUUCGCUGACGAGUGGCGGACGGGUGAGUAAUGUCUGGGAAACUGCCUGAUGGAGGGGGAUAACUACUGGAAACGGUAGCUAAUACCGCAUAACGUCGCAAGACCAAAGAGGGGGACCUUCGGGCCUCUUGCCAUCGGAUGUGCCCAGAUGGGAUUAGCUAGUAGGUGGGGUAACGGCUCACCUAGGCGACGAUCCCUAGCUGGUCUGAGAGGAUGACCAGCCACACUGGAACUGAGACACGGUCCAGACUCCUACGGGAGGCAGCAGUGGGGAAUAUUGCACACUGGGCGCAAGCCUGAUGCAGCCAUGCCGCGUGUAUGAAGAAGGCCUUCGGGUUGUAAAGUACUUUCAGCGGGGAGGAAGGGAGUAAAGUUAAUACCUUUACUCAUUGACGUUACCCGCAGAAGAAGCACCGGCUAACUCCGUG
This 490-nucleotide ribosomal RNA is filed under the name uncultured bacterium. RNAcentral's name for it is "partial 16S ribosomal RNA". It matches the Rfam family "Bacterial small subunit ribosomal RNA", at positions 30 to 507 of the family's 1533-position model. The record is from RNAcentral.